UUCCAAAUAGGUGUACUGAGAUGCAAAAAUCCCAUUAACAGUAGAUGGUCCAAUUUAGCAAGACUUCUAGAUCUAAAGGAGGUCGCUCAAAAGGAAAAAUAGUAAACAUGGAAAGAACUAACAAGGAAUCACCAAAUCCCACAAUUCCUCCUUAUGGCUCCAUGUGGAGAGGCUUCUACCUCACUACUCCAAUUUCAGCCUGUGCUAUAUGUCAACAGGAUAGGACAUUCUUUUAUAUGCAGCAGAGAAUGACAACAGUCCCUGGUUUACUGUCCUUCCAAGACCUUGAGGUUUUUGCUACAAAACAAGAUGCUGUAGGCAGCUGCUUCUGUGAUGCUCCUUGAGGAGACAGAGGAAGAAACAAGGAAGAUGAUAAAAAGGAGAGCAGAAGUUGGCUGACAUCAGAAAGUGUGGUCACUAAUUGGGCCUUUGGCUGUCAUUCGGAUAAACAGGCGCUGCCUACUUGAUUAAAAUAGUGUACUGGUGGUGCAGAGCGGUACACCG
Molecule: long non-coding RNA, 504 nt
Organism: Mauremys reevesii (Reeves's turtle)
Lineage: Eukaryota; Metazoa; Chordata; Testudines; Geoemydidae
Exons: 3
Source: RefSeq, a predicted model, not a curated record